Molecule: ribosomal RNA, 253 nt
Filed under: uncultured bacterium
Lineage: Bacteria
Description: partial 16S ribosomal RNA
Rfam family: Bacterial small subunit ribosomal RNA
Source: RNAcentral
UACGAAGGGGGCUAGCGUUGCUCGGAAUCACUGGACGUAAAGGGUGCGUAGGCGGGUCUUUAAGUCAGGGGUGAAAUCCUGGAGCUCAACUCCAGAACUGCCUUUGAUACUGAAGAUCUUGAGUUCGGGAGAGGUGAGUGGAACUGCGAGUGUAGAGGUGAAAUUCGUAGAUAUUCGCAAGAACACCAGUGGCGAAGGCGGCUCACUGGCCCGAUACUGACGCUGAGGCACGAAAGCGUGGGGAGCAAACAGG